AAUAACAGUAACGUAUAUAGUGAUGCGAAGGCAUUGAAAAGGGAAUCUGGUGCGAAUCCAGGACAGCCCGCUCUACUGUGUGAUGGACGAUCGUCCCAUAAGCCACCCGGUCAGCCGGGGAAGGCGGGACUUGAGGAUGAGAUCGAGUCAGGAGACCUGCUAUAUAUAGAAGAUUCUU
Molecule: non-coding RNA, 178 nt
Filed under: Lachnospiraceae bacterium 5_1_57FAA
Lineage: Bacteria; Bacillati; Bacillota; Clostridia; Lachnospirales; Lachnospiraceae
Also listed under: 1 other name
Source: RNAcentral